GACGAACGCUGGCGGCGUGCUUAACACAUGCAAGUCGAACGGAAAGGCCCUGCUUUUGUGGGGUGCUCGAGUGGCGAACGGGUGAGUAACACGUGAGUAACCUGCCCUUGACUUUGGGAUAACUUCAGGAAACUGGGGCUAAUACCGGAUAGGAUCUCCUGCUGCAUGGUGGGGGUUGGAAAGUUUCGGCGGGUGGGGAUGGACUCGCGGCUUAUCAGCUUGUUGGUGGGGUAGUGGCUUACCAAGGCUUUGACGGGUAGCCGGCCUGAGAGGGUGACCGGCCACAAUGGGACUGAGAUACGGACCAGACUCCUACGGGAGGCAGCAGUGGGGAAUAUUGCACAAUGGGCGGAAGCCUGAUGCAGCAACGCCGCGUGCGGGAUGACGGCCUUCGGGUUGUAAACCGCUUUCGCCUGUGACGAAGCGUGAGUGACGGUAAUGGGUAAAGAAGCACCGGCUAACUACGUG
RNAcentral lists this ribosomal RNA (468 nucleotides) under uncultured bacterium. RNAcentral describes it as "partial 16S ribosomal RNA". It matches the Rfam family "Bacterial small subunit ribosomal RNA", at positions 28 to 507 of the family's 1533-position model. The record is from RNAcentral.